GCUGGGUGUUGUGGUGGGUGCCUGUGGUCCCAGCUACUUGGGAGGCUGAGGCAGGAGACUCCCUUAAGCCCAGGAGUUGGAGGUUGCUGUGAGCUGUGAUGCCACAGCACCAUACCCAGGGAGAUAGCUUGAGGCUCUGUCUCAAAAAAAAAAAAAAAAGAGAGAUAGUCUCACUUUGUUGCCCUCAGUAGAGUGCUGGGGCAUCAUAGCUCACAGUAACCUCAAACUCUUAAGCUAAAGUGAUUUUCUUGCCU
This 254-nucleotide small RNA is filed under the name Otolemur garnettii (small-eared galago). RNAcentral's name for it is "Metazoan signal recognition particle RNA (ENSOGAG00000024616.1)". Lineage: Eukaryota; Metazoa; Chordata; Mammalia; Primates; Galagidae. The record is from RNAcentral.